RNAcentral lists this ribosomal RNA (492 nucleotides) under uncultured bacterium. Its description in RNAcentral is "partial 16S ribosomal RNA". It matches the Rfam family "Bacterial small subunit ribosomal RNA", at positions 29 to 507 of the family's 1533-position model. The record is from RNAcentral.
AGUGAACGCUGGCGGUAGGCCUAACACAUGCAAGUCGAACGGCAGCACAGUAAGAGCUUGCUCUUACGGGUGGCGAGUGGCGGACGGGUGAGGAAUACAUCGGAAUCUACUUUUUCGUGGGGGAUAACGUAGGGAAACUUACGCUAAUACCGCAUACGACCUACGGGUGAAAGCAGGUGAUCUUCGGACCUUUCGCGAUUGAAUGAGCCGAUGUCGGAUUAGCUAGUUGGCGGGGUAAAGGCCCACCAAGGCGACGAUGCGUAGCUGGUCUGAGAGGAUGAUCAGCCACACUGGAACUGAGACACGGUCCAGACGCCUACGGGAGGCCGCAGUGGGGAAUAGUGGACAAUGGGAGCAAGCGUGAUACAGCCAUACCGCGUGGGUGAAGAAGGCCUUCGGGUUGUAAAGCUCUUUUGUUGUGAAAGAAAAGCAGCAGGUUAAUACCCCGUUGUUCUGACGGUACCCAAAGAAUAAGCACCGGCUAACUUCGUG